RNAcentral lists this ribosomal RNA (442 nucleotides) under uncultured Anaerolineaceae bacterium. RNAcentral describes it as "bacterial SSU rRNA". It matches the Rfam family "Bacterial small subunit ribosomal RNA", at positions 925 to 1382 of the family's 1533-position model. Lineage: Bacteria; Bacillati; Chloroflexota; Anaerolineae; Anaerolineales; Anaerolineaceae. The record is from RNAcentral.
ACAAGCGGUGGAGCAUGUGGUUUAAUUCGAUGCAACGCGAAGAACCUUACCUGGGUUUGACAUAUAGGUUGUAGGGAACUGAAAGGGACCGACCCUUCGGGGAGCCUAUACAGGUGUUGCAUGGCUGUCGUCAGCUCGUGUCGUGAGAUGUUCGGUUAAGUCCGCUAACGAGCGCAACCCUCGUCGUAUGUUAUAUGUGUCAUACGAGACUGCCGGUAAAAGCCGGAGGAAGGUGAGGAUGAUGUCAAGUCAGCAUGACCUUUAUAUCCAGGGCUACACACACGCUACAAUGGUCUGUACAAUGGGUAGCCAAGCCGCGAGGCGGAGCCAAUCCUGAAAGCAGGCCUCAGUUCAGAUUGCAGUCUGCAACUCGACUGCAUGAAGCCGGAGUUGCUAGUAACCGCAGGUCAGCAAUACUGCGGUGAAUACGUUCCCGGGUCUU